RNAcentral lists this ribosomal RNA (253 nucleotides) under uncultured bacterium. RNAcentral describes it as "partial 16S ribosomal RNA". It matches the Rfam family "Bacterial small subunit ribosomal RNA", at positions 524 to 776 of the family's 1533-position model. The record is from RNAcentral.
UACGUAGGGGGCUAGCGUUGUCCGGAUUUAUUGGGCGUAAAGAGCGUGUAGGCGGCCAGGUAGGUCUGCUGUGAAAACUCGAGGCUCAACCUCGAGAUGUCGGCGGAAACCAUCUGGCUAGAGUCCGGAAGAGGUGAGUGGAACUCCGAGUGUAGAGGUGAAAUUCGUAGAUAUUCGGAAGAACACCAGUGGCGAAGGCGGCUCACUGGUCCGGUACUGACGCUGAGGUGCGAAAGCGUGGGGAGCAAACAGG